Molecule: long non-coding RNA, 528 nt
Organism: Alligator sinensis (Chinese alligator)
Lineage: Eukaryota; Metazoa; Chordata; Crocodylia; Alligatoridae
Exons: 3
Source: RefSeq, a predicted model, not a curated record
GAGUGUGCGAGGCACGCCUCGCUCAGCCCCGUCUCUUCCCCAAACGCGCCCGGAGGGUCACGUGCCGCAGGGAGUCGAGGGGACCUCCGUGGGACGCCCCGGGGAGGCGCUCCCGCCGCAGAAAGGUGGAGAGACAGUGUCCCUGGAAACUGCCUCCGGAGCCCGAGCAAGGCAGCGAGGCCAGGGGCUGCGAGACCAGGGGGAUCAAAGGGAGCUGCUGCACGGGCUGGAGGACAGCGCUCAGCCCCUAACCUCGCUCGCUCUGCCCUAACAACUGCCAUCCGGAGAGGUCAUAAACUGUUGGGGGAAAGGCAGCCCGUUAUCGUGCUGGAGGGAUGGUGUAGCUGGGAUGGGCCAGGGAAGAUGCAAGCGGCCAGGGUGUGCCUGGGUCUCGGGGAUGAGGCACGCACAGCAUUCGACAUCGUGUACAGCCCUAUCCCAGCCACGCCGCGCUCCGAUCAGAGACGUCAGCCACAAAAUCCUCGCCUUCCUUUUGCACGUUGUUCAGUUUUUGGAGCAGGGACCAUG